Molecule: ribosomal RNA, 436 nt
Filed under: uncultured Anaerolineaceae bacterium
Lineage: Bacteria; Bacillati; Chloroflexota; Anaerolineae; Anaerolineales; Anaerolineaceae
Description: bacterial SSU rRNA
Rfam family: Bacterial small subunit ribosomal RNA
Source: RNAcentral
GCAGCGGAGCGUGUGGUUUAAUCGUUGCUACACGAAGAACCUUACCUGGGUUUGACAUAUAGGUUGUAGGGAACUGAAAGGGACCGACCGUUCGGGAGCCUAUACAGGUGUUGCAUGGCUGUCGUCAGCUCGUGUCGUGAGAUGUUCGGUUAAGUCCGCUAACGAGCGCAACCCUCGUCGUAUGUUAUAUGUGUCAUACGAGACUGCCGGUAAAAGCCGGAGGAAGGUGAGGAUGAUGUCAAGUCAGCAUGACCUUUAUAUCCAGGGCUACACACACGCUACAAUGGUCUGUACAAUGGGUAGCCAAGCCGCGAGGCGGAGCCAAUCCUGAAAGCAGGCCUCAGUUCAGAUUGCAGUCUGCAACUCGACUGCAUGAAGCCGGAGUUGCUAGUAACCGCAGGUCAGCAAUACUGCGGUGAAUACGUUCCCGGGUCUU